This is a long non-coding RNA of Haplochromis burtoni (Burton's mouthbrooder), 318 nucleotides long. RefSeq lists it as uncharacterized. NCBI's taxonomy places the organism in Eukaryota, Metazoa, Chordata, Actinopteri, Cichliformes, Cichlidae. The record is from RefSeq and is a predicted model, not a curated record. The transcript is spliced from 3 exons.
AUUACCAAUUAACCUAACACCACUAACUGCAUGUCUUUGGAGGAAACCAGAGUACCCAGAGGGAACAUGCAACUCCACACAGCAAGGCUCAGAGCUAAUGAUGAAGGUAUGGGCAGAUCUUAGGCCUGCAUCUAUGGACUGGCCUUGUAUCCACCCAUGGUCAUUAACUCACCUGCCUGGCCACUCUCCACCAAGAUGUCCCAGCUGCUUCUAGAUUCCAGCUUGAUCGCCUUCAGUUCCUUUCCCAGCUUCUUGCCCUCUGCUCUUAAAACCUCACGGAAUACCAUGUUCGCUCCUGCAAAAUAAAUCACUUUCCAA